UUCAUUCUCCUCCAUCUGCCAAAAUAAGCAUAUUCCACCUCCUCUCGUACUGUCUUCGUCAUAAUCUAAUCCACGAAGCUCGUCUGAAGACCCAUUACGAAGCCCCCAUGUACCACGACGGAAUACAGUAAUUUCUUUUCCACCAACCAUGGAAUCUAUUUUCUUGGUAAUUUGGUUUCCAUGGAAUUUGAACUCCAAUUCCUUCUAAUAUUUUCUAGCGAACCAAACAGACUGUACCAAAAUGUCAAUUUGUUCUGUUAACCUAUGACACAUAGCAAAUUAGCAAUAUAGGAGAAAGUAACGUAGAAAUAAAAUAUUUGUAAUUUGGGUUGUCUGGGAGGAGGAGUGGUUGACUUGAUCUGAAAUAAAGCCUCAGCCAUUGCUGUGAGUUAUGUAAAGGUUGCAAUCUGAUGAUCUCGUUCGUAGCUAUUACAUUAUUGUAGAAAGAGAGAGAGAGAGAGAGAGGUGAGAUGGCAUCUAUUGCGUUAGCUUCUCUGAGGGCAACAAUGGAGUUUGAGAUCCAGCAACCCAGCCCUCGGGUUCUUCCUGAUGAACUACAACAGAUGAGAUCUAUUCUACAAGAUCUCGCACCUUUGCAAGCCUUUCUGGAUAAAUUUAACAUCAAAGCCGGGCGCAAGGAUGCUGAAAGCAGAGAUGUGGAACUCAAAAUCAAACGCUUUGCUCUUCAAGCAGAAGACCAGAUUGAGAUUCAUCUCAGAAACAUUAUACUAGAAGAAGACACACGCAGAGAACUCCGUAGAAGCCUGGGGGAAAUCAGAAAAGAGAUAGGUGGGUUGUCUCAGAUUGUGAUCAACCAUUCCGAUAAUGAUGAGUCCCACCACCACGAUAUCCCUUCACAGCUAUCCGCGGAUAAAUGGAGAUCACAGACGCAUGAAGUAGAAAUGGUGGGACGCCACAAGGAAUUGUUUCAAAUAGAGCGACUUUUGCGGUGCUUCAAUAAACGACCAAUCUCUUCUCCUCUCACACCAAGCGUUAUCUCAAUUUGGGGAAUGGGAGGCAUUGGCAAGACUACUUUAACAAGAAAAGUUUAUGAGAAGCCAAUGGAGUAUUUUGGUGUUCGUGCUUGGGUUACGGUGUCUCAGAAAUAUGAGCUGAAACAAAUUAUCAUUUCCCUUCUUCGAUGCAUUAAGACCAUAACCCCUGAAGAAAUUAAGGUGGCAACCGAGGAUGAAUUAGCAUGUCAAUUAAGAAAGUUGAUGACUGAGAAAACUUAUCUAAUUGUUUUGGACGAUGUGUGGAGUACUAGAGCUUGGGAUGAAAUCUUAGGACUGUUUGCCCAUGAAAGAAAUGAAGGCUUCAUAUUAUUGACAACUCGAGACAGGGAGGUGGCUAUGUAUGCUAGUGAUUGUGAUUUUGGUAAAACCUAUAACUUGAGCAUUUUAGAGGAAAAAGAUAGUUGGGAACUAUUUCGUAAUAUCUUUCCUCUUGAAAAGUAUAUGGCACCUAGAUUUAACAAAUUUUGGAGCUAUUUGGCCCGUGUUGUGGAGAAAUGUGAUGGACUACCACCUACAAUUAUUGCAGUUGCGGAGCGUCUGUCUAAAUGCAAAAAUGCAACAAAGGAAUUGAAAAACAUUGAAAAGGAAUUAGAAUCAUUAGGAAUUAUAGGUCACAAUAUACGUACUCACAUUUACUGUCAAUUGUCAGAAGAUUUGAAAGUUUACCUUCUAUAUCUUGGAGUCUUUCCAAAACGUAGUGAAAUCCAAGUUAAAACACUUCUCAGGUUAUGGAUUGCUGAAGGAUUGGUGAAGCAAACAUGUGCUAUGAACAUAGAAGAGACUGCUUAUAGGUAUUUAGAAUCUCUUGUCGAUAGAAGUCUUGUCUUAAUUUGCAACUUGAGUUCUGAUGGAAAAAUUAAGAGUUGUAGGGUGCAUAGUGCCUUGCAUAGCGUCUGUGUAGUAGAAGCUCAAAAAGAGGGCAUUUUAUGUGCUGUAAAUACUCUUCAACAUGUGGGAUUGCCAUUAAGUAGCGUGUUUGCAAAUUCAUGUCGUUGGUUAAGUUUAUACACACAUGGUUUCGACUAUUACGUGUUGCUUGGUACAAAUAUUUGUCGCUCUAUUUUCUUCUUUUGUGAAAAUUCAGAAUCAGAAUUUGUGCCUCUCAGGUUUUUAAGAGUUCUGGCAUUUGUUCCAUCUCGAUUCCUUGAAAGAGAGAAUUUAGGGAACCUAGUAUUUUUGAGAUAUGUACAUGUAAAACAAUGGUUUGAGGGUCUGGAGGAUAUAGUGCCAACUAAUCCAAAUCUGCAAGUACUUAUUGUGACUCAUAAGGGAACAAUUGCAAGCUCGAUGUGUUUGCCAUCUAAAAUUUGGGAAACACCAAAACUAAUAAGGCAUGUGGAGGUUAGCUAUUCCCUUUCAGUGGAUCCUCCUCCUCCUAGCGAGGUUAGAGAGUCGUUGCAGACAUUAUAUUGGUUGAGUCUACACCAUUGUACAGAGGAUGUGUUUUCAAGGAUUCCGAAUGUCAAAAAGUUGGGGAUUAUUUGUGGAGGUGAUAAGGGAAGUAGUAGUCCAAAUGAGGAUAACCUUGGUAAUCUUGGUAGUUUGGGUGAGCUCAAGACAUUAAUGAUUGCAUUUCGGAAAGGCUCACCAACAGGCUUUCAGAAUCUCAAGUCAUUGCCGUUACACCUCAACAUUAAGAAAUUGAAACUGAAGAGAACUUGUUUGCCGUGGAGUGAAAUAAACGUAGUUGGCAUGUUGCCCAACCUUGAAGUAUUAAAACUGAAAGAAGCCUCAGAUGGUUCAGAUUGGAACUCCAGCCUGCAGAGAGGCUUCUUUAAGCUAGAAUUCUUGUAUGUUGAAGCUAAAAACCUUGUCCGUUGGGAGAUCAAUGAGUUCGAUGAGUUUAUGUGUCUUAAGCACCUAGUCCUUAAAAGGUGUACACAAUUGGAAGCUAUUCCAACCGGCUUUGAAGUUGUAAGGACACUGGAGUCAGUUGAGUUACUAAAUUGCUCCCUCCAUCUUAAGGAACAUGUCAAACAUGUUAGUGAUACUCGGAUGGCUUAUUUUGGAUUCAGACCCAUUCUUAUUCGCCAUGUGAACCAAAAACAAGAAGUUGAAGAGGUUAAUGAUUAAUUCGUCUGAAUAAACGAAUUGAAUUGUACAUGUGUAUUGCAAUUAAAUUGCCUAUUUUCAGUACUUGCCUUGGUUAUGAUUUGCAGGAGCCUGCUUCUGGUGAUUCAUACAUUUUGAAGUUGGCGUUUUAAUUAUCAUUGAAAUACUGAAUUCAUAAAGCUUUACUUUGUGUUGAUUAGAAUGAUGCAUGUUGUGGUUCAAUACCGUCUACGGAGAUUCUUAAACAA
RNA transcript from Ipomoea triloba (trilobed morning glory), 3316 nucleotides. It is a transcript of the gene named putative late blight resistance protein homolog R1A-3, with no coding region annotated. The record is from RefSeq and is a predicted model, not a curated record. Lineage: Eukaryota; Viridiplantae; Streptophyta; Magnoliopsida; Solanales; Convolvulaceae. The transcript is spliced from 5 exons.